This 301-nucleotide ribosomal RNA is filed under the name uncultured bacterium. Its description in RNAcentral is "partial 16S ribosomal RNA". It matches the Rfam family "Bacterial small subunit ribosomal RNA", at positions 509 to 809 of the family's 1533-position model. The record is from RNAcentral.
CAGCCGCCGCGGUGAUACGUAGGGUGCGAGCGUUAAUCGGAAUUACUGGGCGUAAAGGGCUCGCAGGCGGUUUCUUAAGUCUGAUGUGAAAGCCCCCGGCUCAACCGGGGAGGGUCAUUGGAAACUGGGAAACUUGAGUGCAGAAGAGGAGAGUGGAAUUCCACGUGUAGCGGUGAAAUGCGUAGAGAUGUGGAGGAACACCAGUGGCGAAGGCGACUCUCUGGUCUGUAACUGACGCUGAGGAGCGAAAGCGUGGGGAGCGAACAGGAUUAGAUACCCCAGUAGUCCCUGUCUCUUAUAA